Molecule: ribosomal RNA, 669 nt
Filed under: uncultured bacterium
Lineage: Bacteria
Description: bacterial SSU rRNA
Rfam family: Bacterial small subunit ribosomal RNA
Source: RNAcentral
UAACACAUGCAAGUCGAACGAUGAUAGAGAGCUUGCUUUUCUUGAUUAGUGGCGCACGGGUGAGUAAUGCAUAGAUAAUGUGCCCCUUAGUUCGGGAUAGCCACUGGAAACGGUGAUUAAUACCGGAUACUCCUUCUUGUUAUAAGACAAGUCGGGAAAGUUUUUCGCUAAGGGAUCAGUCUAUGUUCCAUCAGCUUGUUGGUGAGGUAAUGGCUCACCAAGGCUAUGACGGAUAUCUGGUUUGAGAGGAUGAUCAGACACACUGGAACUGAGACACGGUCCAGACUCCUACGGGAGGCAGCAGUGAGGAAUAUUGCACAAUGGAGGAAACUCUGAUGCAGCAACGCCGCGUGGAGGAUGACGCAUUUCGGUGUGUAAACUCCUUUUAUUAGGGAAGAUAAUGACGGUACCUAAUGAAUAAGCACCGGCUAACUCCGUGCCAGCAGCCGCGGUAAUACGGAGGGUGCAAGCGUUACUCGGAAUCACUGGGCGUAAAGGGUGCGUAGGCUGGCUUUUAAGUCAGAUGUGAAAUCCAAUGGCUCAACCAUUGAACUGCAUUUGAAACUGAAAGCCUAGAGUUCAGAAGGGGCAGAUGGAAUUAGUGGUGUAGGGGUAAAAUCCGUAGAUAUCACUAGGAAUAUCAAAAGCGAAGGCGAUCUGCUGGGAUGA